CAAAUGAAUUGACGGGGCCGCACAAGCAGCGGAGCAUGUGGUUUAAUUCGACGCAACGCGAAGAACCUUACCAGGGCUUGACAUCCCCUGACCGCGUAUGAAAGUACGUUUUCACCCUCGGGUGACAGGGAGACAGGUGGUGCAUGGUUGUCGUCAGCUCGUGUCGUGAGAUGUUGGGUUAAGUCCCGCAACGAGCGCAACCCCUACGUUUAGUUGCUAACAGGUGAAGCUGAGCACUCUAGACGAACUGCCGUUGACAAAACGGAGGAAGGUGGGGAUGACGUCAAAUCAUCAUGCCCCUUAUGUUCUGGGCUACACACGUGCUACAAUGGCCGGUACAGACGGAGGCGAAGCCGCGAGGCGGAGCAAAACCGAAAAAGCCGGUCUCAGUUCGGAUCGCAGGCUGCAAUUCGCCUGCAUGAAGUCGGAAUCGCUAGUAAUCGCAGGUCAGCAUACUGCGGUGAAUACGUUCCCGGGCCUU
This 481-nucleotide ribosomal RNA is filed under the name uncultured Pelotomaculum sp. RNAcentral's name for it is "bacterial SSU rRNA". It matches the Rfam family "Bacterial small subunit ribosomal RNA", at positions 902 to 1382 of the family's 1533-position model. Lineage: Bacteria; Bacillati; Bacillota; Clostridia; Eubacteriales; Desulfotomaculaceae. The record is from RNAcentral.